RNAcentral lists this long non-coding RNA (312 nucleotides) under Solanum tuberosum (potato). RNAcentral describes it as "long non-coding RNA (STUB_LNC000988)". The record is from RNAcentral. Lineage: Eukaryota; Viridiplantae; Streptophyta; Magnoliopsida; Solanales; Solanaceae.
AUCGAUAGGAUGAUGAUGAUGUUCCAUCGAUAGGAUAAUGAUGUUGAUGCUCAAUUGAUAGGAUAAUGAUUAUUCAUUGAUAGGAUGAUAAUGCUGCUCCAUCGACAGGAUGAUGAUGAUACUACUUCAUCGAUAAGAGGAUUAACAAUGAUCCACUGAUAGGAUACUAUUGAUGAGGAUCCAUUGGUAGGAUGAUGAUAACAAAGAUCCGUCGAGAGGAUGAUGAUGAAGAUUCGUCGGUAGAACAAUGUUGAUCCAUUGGUAAGAUAAUGAUGACGAUCCAUUGGUAGGAUAAUGCUCAUCCAUUGGUAG